Molecule: non-coding RNA, 1372 nt
Organism: Malus domestica (apple)
Lineage: Eukaryota; Viridiplantae; Streptophyta; Magnoliopsida; Rosales; Rosaceae
Source: RefSeq, a predicted model, not a curated record
AUUAGUUCACGCCUUUCCUCUCUCUCCCCCCUCUUAAACUCAACUCCUUGUCCUCCGGACCUCCUCAGCAAUCUUCCUGUCUCCCCCAUCCGCUCUCUCCCUCCUCUUUCACGCAACAAAGGCUCUGUUCACCCGUCACCAACGACCGUCUAAUUAUACCUCCAGAAUCCUCUUGUCGUCCUCUUUCCAACUCCCAAGUUUGUUUCUCCAAAUUCUUAGCUGAAUUUCCUCAAUUUCAGAUCUAAGCAACGGAGAUCGUGGGCUUUCCUGCCAAUUUCCGGCAAAGGCUGCCGGAAUUGGACCUCAAUGCAAGAGGUAAAAAUGAUCUCUCUUUCCCCCUCUCUCAUCUAUCCUUCUCCCUACUUUCAUCUUCUGCUCUGCCUCCCUCAGACUCUCUUUCUCUCACCUCUGUCUCUCUCUCCGACUCCCUUUCUCUCUCUACCUUCCCAGAUUCGGUCCGUCUCUCUUCCUUUUCCCGAUCUGGUGGUUUUUGAUGAACCAAUCCAAAGCAUAACUCCCAGAUUCGGUCCAUCUUUAUUUUCUACCUUCCCAAAUCCUAGAUUCGGUCUCUCUCUAAUUCUCUCUUAUUUGAUUUGAUUUUCAAAAAAUAUAUAGAUCUAUUUGAUUUUCUUUCCUACUAUUGUCUUCUUCAAGCUACAUUGAUCCGGAUUGAUGAAGGAGAAUCUUCGAGUCAGAAAGAUGUGGGCAAGCAAAAAAGGAGGGCCACCGGAGGCCACCCUAGAAACCACCAUUGGCAUCUUCACCAUCGAGUAGCUUUAUUACAAACAUUCGCCGAGGACUUGCAAGAACUUCAUGGGGCUCGCUCGCAGAGGAUAUUACUCAUCCAGGAUUUCAUAGGGCAAGGUGGUGAUCCCACUGGGGCAGGAAAGGGUGGCGAAUCCAUUUAUGGGUGAAAAAAAAUUCCCUUGAAUUUCCCAUAAUGGGAAAGUUUGAGGACGAGAUAAAACAAGAGUUGAAGCAUAUUGGAGCUGGCAUCUUAUCGAUGGCGAAUGCUGGUCCAAAUACAAAUGGAAGCCAGUUCUUUUUCAUGUUGGCACCGUGCCCAUCAUUGGAUGGGUCUGACAUUGAGGCAAUCAAGCAACAUUUUGGAAAGAAAAUUUUGGAACUAGAAGAUGAGAAAAGAACUGUGCAGGUUCACUUAAAACCUUAAUAUUUGAUGUUUUUAUUCUUGAGAGAACCGAUAUUCACUUAAACCUUUAUAAUUUUAGUUUUAUUUUAGUUGGGGAUAGAAUAUGUAAAAUUAUAGUUGUUUUUAUAUAUAAUGGUUGUGAAUAUCUUUGUAAAUUGUAAUAUUAUAGAUGCUUGUGGUUGUGGGCUGUUUUAAUUUUAUGAAAAAAUAAUUUUUUGUUUA